Molecule: ribosomal RNA, 497 nt
Filed under: uncultured bacterium
Lineage: Bacteria
Description: partial 16S ribosomal RNA
Rfam family: Bacterial small subunit ribosomal RNA
Source: RNAcentral
GAUGAACGCUGGCGGCGUGCCUAAUACAUGCCAGUCGAGCGAACGGACGAGAAGCUUGCUUCUCUGAUGUUAGCGGCGGACGGGUGAGUAACACGUGGAUAACCUACCUAUAAGACUGGGAUAACUUCGGGAAACCGGAGCUAAUCCCGGAUAAUAUUUUGAACCGCAUGGUUCAAAAGUGAAAGACGGUCUUGCUGUCACUUAUCGCUGGAUCCGCGCUGCAUUAGCUAGUUGGUAAGGUAACGGCCUACCAAGGCAACGAUGCAUAGCCGACCUGAGGGGGUGAUAGGCCACACUGGAACGGAGACACGGUCCAGACUCCUACGGGAGGCAGCAGUAGGGAAUCUUCGGCAAUGGGCGAAAGCCUGACGGAGCAACGCCGCGUGAGUGAUGAAGGUCUUCGGAUCGUAAAACUCUGUUAUGAGGGAAGAACAUAUGUGGAAUUAACUGUGCACAUCUUGACGGUACCUAAUCAGAAAGCCACGGCUAACUACGUG